UUUAUUGGAGAGUUUGAUCCUGGCUCAGGACGAACGCUGGCGGCGUGCCUAAUACAUGCAAGUCGAGCGAGUCUCUUCGGAGGCUAGCGGCGGACGGGUGAGUAACACGUAGGCAACCUGCCUCUCAGACUGGGAUAACAUAGGGAAACUUAUGCUAAUACCGGAUAGGUUUUUGGAUCGCAUGAUCUGAAAAGAAAAGAUGGCUUUUGGCUAUCACUGGGAGAUGGGCCUGCGGCGCAUUAGCUAGUUGGUGGGGUAACGGCCUACCAAGGCGACGAUGCGUAGCCGACCUGAGAGGGUGACCGGCCACACUGGGACUGAGACACGGCCCAGACUCCUACGGGAGGCAGCAGUAGGGAAUUUUCCACAAUGGACGAAAGUCUGAUGGAGCAACGCCGCGUGAACGAUGAAGGUCUUCGGAGUGUAAAGUGCUGUUGUCAGGGACGAACACGUACCGUUCGAACAGGGCGGUACCUUGACGGUACCU
This 487-nucleotide ribosomal RNA is filed under the name Brevibacillus agri. Its description in RNAcentral is "bacterial SSU rRNA". It matches the Rfam family "Bacterial small subunit ribosomal RNA", at positions 1 to 480 of the family's 1533-position model. Lineage: Bacteria; Bacillati; Bacillota; Bacilli; Caryophanales; Paenibacillaceae. The record is from RNAcentral.